Molecule: small RNA, 1291 nt
Filed under: Histoplasma capsulatum
Lineage: Eukaryota; Fungi; Ascomycota; Eurotiomycetes; Onygenales; Ajellomycetaceae
Also listed under: 1 other name
Description: hypothetical RNA
Source: RNAcentral
ACAACCUCACUUAUAGAUCAUUUCUCUACCACCUUGGAGGGUUAAUUUUCCAAUUUCCUAUCGAUUGAACUAAUUUUUAUUCAAAAAUACAUAUAUUUCACCCAACGCCUUGAUCUUGCCAUCAAAACAUAUAUCCGGUCAUCAGUAGCUCUAGCCAAAGCACCGAGUGUAUUUUCUGAUGACUUCUGACAUCUUUUGGUGAUGUCCAACAACUUCUGGCAACUUCUGUCAACUUCGCAUAACUCUUGACCACCUCACACAGCACAUCAACUUCUGACAACAUCUGGGAUCUUUCAACAACUUGUGGGAUCUUUUGACAACUUCUGGACCAAUCACAUAACACCUUUUUUUGACAGCUGGGUCAGACAACUCUGUUGAAUAUGGCCAAGGGGGAUCGAAGAAAACGCAAAAGUCAGCAACAACGGCGGCUUCAAAAGCUAUCAUUUAAAGCAAAUACUUUCCAUGAAAAUUGAAGACAUGCCACAAGUUGUUAUGAGUUACGCUGAACCCGAAAGUAUCGACAAGCAACAGGAUGUUAUUGAGCAUUGUCUUCGACGAAUCCUUCAAGGCCCGCGUCCAGAUCCUAAAUGCACUCUUCGGCCACACAUAGAACAAGUCCGUAUGCUCCGGCGCAUGAUAUAUGGAUAUGGCGACACUUUAUUCAUUGCCAGAACUGGCUAUGGAAAGAGUCUUAUUCUUCAAUCCUAUACAAUUCUGACAGGGAAGAUAACCAUUCAACUGAUUCCUCUAAACAAGCUUGGUGAUCAGCAGACAGAUGAUAUAGCUCAGUUUCCCUCUACCAAUCCUUGUCUGAUCAGUGCCAGCAAUCUCCAGGGAGAAGAGCACUUACUCAAACGUAUCCAACAGUGUGAAUAUACACAUAUCUUACUCAGUCCAGAGCAAGCGCUUUCCAAGCAGUUUCAGUGUAUCCUUCAAGACCCUACUUUACAAGAAAAGAUUGGGCUUGUAGCUAUUGAUGAGUGUCAUCUUAUCACUCAGUGGAGUGGAUUCCGUGGUCAGUUUGCCAGGCUGGGGCAUCUGAGAUUGCUUUUGCGUGAGGACAUUGUCUGGUUUGGCUGUUCUGCAACCCUCAGCAGUAAAGAUGAAGAUAUUAUUCUUCAAAAUGCUGGAUUUCGUUCUGUUGGUGAUAAUCCACGGCAGACUCAGAUUAUUCGAACCUCCAUUAACCGUCCUGAUAUUUUUAUUGGUAUACAUCCAAUUCCACGUGGUAAAUUAGCAUCCUAUGAUAUGCUAUAUUUCUUAUUGAAUGAGGCCGUUGAUACAGAUGGAA